This 309-nucleotide ribosomal RNA is filed under the name uncultured Pseudomonas sp. Its description in RNAcentral is "bacterial SSU rRNA". It matches the Rfam family "Bacterial small subunit ribosomal RNA", at positions 1077 to 1382 of the family's 1533-position model. Lineage: Bacteria; Pseudomonadati; Pseudomonadota; Gammaproteobacteria; Pseudomonadales; Pseudomonadaceae. The record is from RNAcentral.
GGGUUAAGUCCCGUAACGAGCGCAACCCUUGUCCUUAGUUACCAGCACGUUAGUGGUGGGCACUCUAAGGAGACUGCCGGUGACAAACCGGAGGAAGGUGGGGAUGACGUCAAGUCAUCAUGGCCCUUACGGCCUGGGCUACACACGUGCUACAAUGGUACGGGUACAAAGGGUUGCCAAGCCGCGAGGUGGAGCUAAUCCCAUAAAACCGAUCGUAGUCCGGAUCGCAGUCUGCAACUCGACUGCGUGAAGUCGGAAUCGCUAGUAAUCGUGAAUCAGAAUGUCACGGUGAAUACGUUCCCGGGCCUU